AUUUGUUUAUUUUAUAAAUGUGUCACUAUUCUAUUUUAUACCUCUUUUUCUUAAAAAUUAGUGUUAUACAUUAUAAUAUUUUACUUGUUUUAAAUUUUACACCUUUUUUUAAUAAAAAAGCUAUAAUAUCAAUAAUUAUAAUGUCUUUUGUACACUAGUGUGUUUCUUAAUAAUAUCGUUGUAUCUAUCACAACAAAAGUCUAACACACAUUUUCUC
Molecule: long non-coding RNA, 217 nt
Filed under: Lathyrus oleraceus (garden pea)
Lineage: Eukaryota; Viridiplantae; Streptophyta; Magnoliopsida; Fabales; Fabaceae
Description: Pisum sativum (pea) long non-coding RNA (PSAT_LNC007956)
Source: RNAcentral